GAGGAAUAUUGGUCAAUGGGCGCGAGCCUGAACCAGCCAAGUAGCGUGCAGGAUGACGGCCCUAUGGGUUGUAAACUGCUUUUGUAUGGGGAUAAAGUCAAUCACGUGUGAUUGUUUGCAGGUACCAUACGAAUAAGGACCGGCUAAUUCCGUGCCAGCAGCCGCGGUAAUACGGAAGGUCCGGGCGUUAUCCGGAUUUAUUGGGUUUAAAGGGAGCGUAGGCCGGAGAUUAAGUGUGUUGUGAAAUGUAGACGCUCAACGUCUGACUUGCAGCGCAUACUGGUUUCCUUGAGUACGCACAACGUUGGCGGAAUUCGUCGUGUAGCGGUGAAAUGCUUAGAUAUGACGAAGAACUCCGAUUGCGAAGGCAGCUGACGGGAGCGCAACUGACGCUUAAGCUCGAAGGUGCGGGUAUCGAACAGGAUUAGAUACCCUGGUAGUCCGCACAGUAAACGAUGGAUGCCCGCUGUUGGUACUUGGUAUCAGCGGCUAAGCGAAAGCAUUAAGCAUCCCACCUGGGGAGUACGCCGGCAACGGUG
Molecule: ribosomal RNA, 539 nt
Filed under: uncultured bacterium
Lineage: Bacteria
Description: bacterial SSU rRNA
Rfam family: Bacterial small subunit ribosomal RNA
Source: RNAcentral